UAAACGAAGAAUAUAUAUAUUGGACAAAAUCUCACUUUAUGCAGGACAAAUAUUUUUUAUUUGUUAAGUCCAUGGUUAAAACCUGCUGUACAUAUAAAGAGCGCAUGCACAACGCAUGAUCUUUUGACGCAUAUAAAGUCCAGAUUCACUUUAUAAUGCUUUAAAAAUAUCAAGAAAAAACAAAGAGGCACAUGCUAUCUACUAAUAUAAUAAUUAUUAUAUAAAUAACCACAGUCCUUUAGAUUGCAUAUGAUUCGUACAUAUAAAAUUGUAGGGAAUAUUAAUAAAGCAACAACACUGAAAAAGAGAAAAACAUUCACUGCUCUUUUCUGGAUAAGUUAAUACACCCUUUAAAACUGAACACAAAAUUAGGAUGAGAAAUUGCUCAUUUUAAUUUACAGACCCAAAGCCUGAUAGCAUUAAAUCAGAAACAUAUUAAUGUAUCAAAUCUAUAAUCAUUCCGUGGAGACAACUGAAGAACAAUUAUGAAUUUCACUUUUACCUGCAAUAUUUUUCCUGGUACCAGUCCAUGUUUUCAUUAUUGCCAUAAAUGACUCGAACAAACUUUAAAGUUGAAAAGAUUGUGGUUUUCUGGGUCAGUUGUAUCACUCGGGUCCAGUUUAAACUGAAAAGCGCAAAUUUGCACGUAUGCGAGUUUCCACGCCAAUGCACAUAUGUUUUAUCACUUGUAGAAUCAUGUUUGAUGACUUGUUCAAAGUAAAUAAUGGUAAUUUAGAACUGAAAUUUUUUAAGGUAUUAUUUGAAGAUGUUGAUGACAUAUGUGUUAACGAGAAAUAUUUGACUGAUUACAAAUGAUAAUGAAGGUCUGGUAGACCCAGUUAUCUUACAGCAGUUGUAAACCAGUCCAAAAUAAACAACAAGAUUUUAUAUACAAAAACACAACAGUACAAUCACAUAAUUUCAGAUGUAUACAUUACUAAUCAUUUGAUUAUUUAAUAAUUGUCAGCAUAUAGUCUAUAUUUCACCCAGAGGGGCACCUCAGCCCAUGUGGGCAAAGGGGCAGUUGCUUGGGCCGCUGUAGCUACCCCCUGUGUACGUGCUUGGAACCAAGUAUACUACAGAGAAAUUUAAUGUCGGAGUGGGAUUUGAGCGAACGCUUUUUUAAUGGUGAGCGUGAGCUUGGGCCGUGAAUGGCUGAGCGGAGCACACAUGCAUGGAGCGGGUUAUUGAGCGGAGUGUCACACUGCUCCGCUUUGCUCACAUGCUCUGCAGAGCACCAACUGUAACCCAUUCUCUCAGGCGAGCACAUUCCCAGGUUUUCAAUUCAAUCGCUACUCUCUAUCUCGUUCAGGAGUUCCAUCGACAUCUCCAUUCGCCAGCAUUCUCAUCGCCAGCAUAAUCUCAUGCCCACCUUUUGAACCUUCUGCUGGUCUAAACCCCUCACACCUCCCCUUAGGUUCUGCUAAAACUCAUGCAGAAAGGACUCGCCCAGCCCACGCUCUUUUCACCUCUUUUCUCUAAUGCUCCAAAACAGACCACAUGGGAUGCAGUUGUAGCAUAACAUUAUCUAUAACCUCCAGCUCUUCCUGCCCAAUACCCCCUGCAUAUUCGGAAUACUAGUUCACAAUUCGCAUCUGAUCCCUCAAAUAAUGCAACCCCUCCCCUAGUCUCGAGGCACUCUUUUAGAAUUGGUGCAACCACUACGGCUGCUCAUCAAGGACUACCAGAGACCACAAUGAGAUGCUCGGGUGCUGGUCUUCCUCAUCCUCCAGAAAUAUACUUGACUCAACCCUCAAUCAUUACACAUGCUCAAGCCUCCUCAGCCAUAAGUUUUCAUACCUAUCUGGUGGUGGUCGGGGGCCUCACUGCCCAUCCACAUCUUUCCCAUGCUUAUCAAAUUCAAGCCAUCUAUUGUCCUGCAAGGACACCACAUAACCACAUCCACUCACUAAGGCUUCCACAAUCCCAGCAUGGUUUUCCUUUGCAUAGGUACUGCUCAAGCCUAGCUCGCCCUCGACGGAAGGCUUAUAACCUACACGGGAUAACUUUCAACGAAAGGUAUUGCACGCAAUGUCACCAUUAUCGUAUGGCUUUACGCUACGUUGUUCUUCUUUCGGCAAAGAUACUCCAAACAACGCCCACCCUCGUCAGAGGGUUCAUAGUCAAAUGUUGUUUUCUUUCAAUGAAGGGUGUUGCACGCAAUGUCGCCAUUAUUGUAUGGCUUUACGGUAUGCUGUUCAUCUUUCGGCAAAGAUAUUCCAAACAACGCUGCCCUCGUCGGAGGGUUCAUAAUCAAAUGUUGUUUAUAUUUCAACAAAGAUACUGCACAACAAUGCUAGCCUAACAUAGAGCCUCAUACCACGUUGUUCAUCUUUUGCAAAGAGUCUGCACAACAAUGGGGCUCCUUGAUGGAGGGCCCAAAACUGUACUCAAGGACAAGGACAAAAAAUUACACUCAAGGACAAAUUACACUCGAGGACAAAAAAAAUCCCCAACAAAAAUAUCUAUCAUACCCUCUAUCAUAAAAGCCAUCAGUAAACGCAAGCACGGCUUUUCCUACUGCAAAGGUAUUGCACAACCAUGCCAGGGAUACGGAAUAUUUCAUGCAAGUGUCAAUUCUAUAUCUUCACAUCUCCUUUUCUUUUCUAUAGAUUGAACGCCAAACACAAGACCUGGUUCGUAACCUGACUGAAUCUUCUCUUUUGGGGGUAGUAUUUUAUCUCUCUCUUUUGGGGUAGGCUCCUCACCCCUGCAUUCUAUCUCUGGCAGGAUCUGAUGGUUCCGAGUAAAACAACUUCGGACCACCAGACAGGGCUUAUGCCAAAGAGAGACAUUACAUUCCUGUUUUAUGUUCAUCAAAUGAAUGUAAUCUAGAACUUUACUCAAAUCUGCGAGUCUUCCUGAUAGAAAUGUAAGUGCAGCAUAGUUCUAGUGGAAAGACUAGCAGCUUCACAUCAUUGCACCAUUAGCUAGGUAACUCCUAGCCAAUCACAUGUAAGCCAUUGCUUUAUAAGUCUGCUCACAAUCUAUCACAUUGCUGUUUCAGUGUGCUAACACGGCAACGUCCACCACCACCAGUUGUGUCCCAUCCUGCACGGGGGUAGGUUCCUCGCCCCUGCCUCCUAUCUCCGGCAGAAUCUGAUGGUUCCCAGUACAACAACUUCGGACCGCAAGACGGAGCUUACGCCAAAGAGAGACAUUACAUUCCUGUUUUAUAUUCAUCAAAUAAAUAUGGCACCAUUACUCACGUGAGGAAGCUCUCCAGAUGAUCCUGGAAAGUGAGGAAGAAUUCACAUUUUCCUCAGAAGAGUGCAACUCUGAUGAUGAACAGUUGCAUUUUGAAGAGCGACUUGAUCCAGCAGAGGAUAUAAUUUCUGAGCUUCCCUAGUGUGACUGGUGCCAUAGACUGCACACACAUCCCCAUCAAGGCCCCACCAGGCCCCAAUGAAGGGGAUUUUGUGAACCGAAAGGGGGUUCACAGUGUAAAUGUGCAGGUGAUUAUGACAGGAUCCUGUUUGGAGACAGGGGCUAUGCCUGCAGGCAAUAUUUUAUGACGCCAUUCCCUGACCCAAACCCCGGACCACAAACCCCGUUACAAUGCAGCUCUAGCCAGGACAAGGACAUGCAUUGAAAUGACAUUUGGGCAACUAAAGGGAAGAUGUCCCCAAAGGGCCGUUCAAUGGCCGUUUCAGUGUCUGAAAAGUUGCACCUGACAGGGCCUGCGACAUUGUUGCAUGUGCCGUAUUACACAACAUUGCCACCAUCAGAAAGGAGAGGACCCCUGUGGUGGAGGUGAGCCUGAUGAUCACCUCCAGCCAGUGCACUUGGACCAACCUAGUGGCAGAGCUGCAUGAGACAGAAUUGUGGAACACCAUUUUUGAUAAGUUUAAUAAAAGACAAGACAAAUAUACUCAGUCCCUUGAGAGUUUUAUUUCAAUUAUUCUUUGUAAAGAAAAGUAAUCAGUAAUCAGUCAUCUUUUGCCUGCAAUAAGACAUAUUGUUAUGUAAGGUCAACAAUAGUACUCUGUGUGAAAUGGUGUAUUAGCACUUACUCUGAAGUUCCUUUUGAAGCAACUCUAUCUCUAAUGCCAGUUUCUUCUUCUUUAAGUGGUUAAGUUCUAUUUCUCCCCUUAAUUUUUGUUUUUUCAGGGAAAA
This is a long non-coding RNA of Myxocyprinus asiaticus (Chinese sucker), 4116 nucleotides long. RefSeq lists it as uncharacterized. The record is from RefSeq and is a predicted model, not a curated record. Lineage: Eukaryota; Metazoa; Chordata; Actinopteri; Cypriniformes; Catostomidae. The transcript has 4 exons.